This is a long non-coding RNA of Meriones unguiculatus (Mongolian gerbil), 834 nucleotides long. RefSeq lists it as uncharacterized. The record is from RefSeq and is a predicted model, not a curated record. NCBI's taxonomy places the organism in Eukaryota, Metazoa, Chordata, Mammalia, Rodentia, Muridae. The transcript is spliced from 2 exons.
GAACAAACCAGUAAAGGGUGGGUCUGCUCCUGGCAGAAAUACAUUUCAUGCAUUGGUACAUACUGUUCCCCAGGCUUCUCUUCCAUUCCUAGCAGCCAAGCAGAUCCUUAUUCAGCCUGCAAAACCCAGAGAUGAAGAAGCAAUCGAAUUUAUCUCUACAUGGAAGAAAAAUGUGAGUUCUCAUAGUCCAGUCUCGGAAGACCAGAGUACAGGCAAGUGCUUCUCCAACUGUUUGGCUCACAGUCAGUAGGAAAAACAAGCUAUACCAUAAUCCAGUAGCAAAUAAUCAAGCUGUGAUGGUUGGUCUGUCUAGAGUCACCUAGAAUGAGACUCUCAGCAAAGGGUUGUCUACCUUGGCUUGGCCUGUGUAGAUGUCUGUGGGGACAUUGUCAGAAGUCAACCAAGCCCAGAGUAUGCAGGGAGUCCUAAACUAUAUAAGAGUGGAGAAACUGAGCUAAAGAACUGAUCAACAAGCAACUAAUUGACCACAUGUGCACCCAUUUCUCUCUGCUCCCGACUGCGGAUGUGAUACCAGUUGUUUGAAGUUUCGCCUUGGUUCCCCUACAACGGUGAGCCUGGAACCUGGAAUUGCAAGCUGAACUAAACUCCCUCCCCAUGACUUGCUGUCUGUUGGAAUAUUUUACCACAGCAACGGGAAUGUAAUGAAUAUAUUUCAGAUGGACGCACGGCCAGGAAGCUAACUCUGCGGGUGGAGGACACCUACAGUGCUAACUUAGCCGUGUGGACGUGUGGGUCAGUAUGUAAACAGAUAGAUAUGCAGAUUUGUAAAACAAAACUUCAUAAAAUGUCGUUGCACGCUGCUCUAUUAUCAGA